AAGUCGUAACAAGGUUUCCGUAGGUGAACCUGCGGAAGGAUCAUUAGAAAUUUUUUAUGUAUUCAAAAUUUCAAUCUAUAAAAAAUUUUGUAUUUUUAUUUAUAUAAAAUAAAAAAAAGACAACUUUCAACAACGGAUCUCUUGGCUCUU
This 150-nucleotide unclassified non-coding RNA is filed under the name Acaulospora mellea. RNAcentral describes it as "partial internal transcribed spacer region". The stretch from base 1 to 46 matches the Rfam family "Eukaryotic small subunit ribosomal RNA", at positions 1786 to 1831 of the family's 1831-position model. Lineage: Eukaryota; Fungi; Glomeromycota; Glomeromycetes; Diversisporales; Acaulosporaceae. The record is from RNAcentral.